Molecule: long non-coding RNA, 3693 nt
Organism: Acinonyx jubatus (cheetah)
Lineage: Eukaryota; Metazoa; Chordata; Mammalia; Carnivora; Felidae
Exons: 3
Source: RefSeq, a predicted model, not a curated record
CCCUGAUUGAUUUGAUUUUUUUGUUGUUGUUUUAAUUUCUUUUUUAAGUUGAUUUAUUUAUUUAUUUUGAGAGACAGCAAGAGCUCGCACGCGGGAAGGAGCAGAGAGAGAGAUUCCCCAGCAGGCCCCAUGCUCCACCACGGAGCUCAAUCUCAAGACUGAGAUCAUGACCUGAGCCGAAAUCAAGAGUGGGAUGUUCAACCAACUGAGCCACCCAGCUGCCAUACCGUGAGGAAGCCCAAACUGCAGGGAGAGGACACGCCACAGGGAGAGGACACGUGUAGUGACGCCGGUCGGCAGCCCCAGCAGAGAUUCGAGGCAGAAGCCAGUGCCAGCCACCAGAUGUGAGUGAGGAAGCCUUUAAGGUGAGCCCAGCCCCAGCCAGUUUCUGCAAUUGCAUUAGAUACCUUGAACAAGAACCAGCCCCAGAACCGUGAAAGAAUAACAAUUGUUGUUGCCUUUUACCACUAAGUUUGGAGUUGUUACACAGCACUGUAUAACCAGAACAACUUGCAUUAACUGAUUUAGUUCUUCCGACAACCCUAGGAGAGGGAAUGGCUGGGCAACGUUCCCAAAGUUACAGCAUGAGUAAGUGGUAGAACUGGGAUGUGAACCCUGGUAGAGGUACUACAGAGUCAGGGUCAUAGCCCUUAGUCUCUGUGGCCAAUAUAUCUUGAUUCCCUGCCCGGCACUCCUUUCCCUUCUGGUUCCAGCACCUGAUUUUCCUUUGGGACCACUCCUCCCACAUCCUCAGUCCAUACGGUUCAGAUGGAACUGAGCCCACCUUGGGCCUUCAGGCACAAGCCCGUAACCCAUUAUCAGGCCACCUUUGGGCACCACGAUUGGUUUGGUGAUGGGCUCAUAAUGAAACUGGAUCAUUGAGUGCCAGCACUGGGAACUUUGCUGGUUUUACAGAGAAAUAGAAAUAGAGCCACUGGAAGGUGCCUGGAUGGCUCCGUUGGUUAAGCAUCUGACUUCAGCUCAGGUCAUGAUCUCACAGCUUGUGGGUUUGAGCCCCCUGUCGGGCUCUGUGCUGACAGCUCAGAGCCUGGAGCCUGUUUCAGAUUCUGUGUCUCUGUCUCUCUCUGCCCCUUUCCUGCUUGUGCUCUCUCUCUCUCUCUCUCUCUCUCUCUCUCUCUCUCUCUCUCUCAAAUGAAUAAACAUUUUUAAAAAUUACAAAAAAGAAAGAAAUAGACCCACUGGAAUCAUGUAGUUACUGGUCUAUCUUAGCUACUGUGAGGAGAUCCUGUCCAAAAGUAUAGCCAAGAAAAAGAUACAGAUAGAUUCCUAACAUUUUAGGACCUAGAUACAGCCAAUCCUGAAGCUUAUCACUGUUGGCUAAAGAUACUUUGAACUGAGUUUCUCUUGCUUCUGAAAGAGGCCUGCUACUCUCCCAGUGAGGCAUUUCUCUUCUAUCCCAUCUUCCUGGAGGGCAGAGAAUGGGCCUGAUCUACCUAACUCAGAACAGGAGGCAUCCGUCAGUCGUGUCCUAUUGGACAGAACUAAAAGUCACACUGCCCCUGCUUUACUGGUGAGGAAACUGAGGCUGUCAUAGGGCCUGUGUAUAGGAGGAGGAGGAGGAUUAGGAGUAAUGCUUACAUCCCAGAUUUUAAAUGAGUCAAGUCAUGUGAGGUCGAGGACUGGGAUUUGGAAGAAAGGGAGGAAGAAGGAAGGGGGUGUUAUGCCAGCCACUGUUGGGUCUGCUUAGCAGGGAGGGCCAUGAAGCUUGUCUUGAGGUCUGUACAAGUCAAGGAGCUUCUUGGGCCUCGUGGCACACACUUGGGGAGCAUACCUCUUGCCCUUGCCAGCCCCUCUUCUGGACCCCUUUCUGUUUCUGACACCUGGAUAUUCCAAGUUAUGAAAUUGCUCACAAUAUAGGCUGUCAUUUACAUGUUAGUGUGAAUCACUUAUUAAUUCUCGGACCUGAGGCCUCUGCAGUGACAUUUCUGGCAGCUAUCCUUCCCGCCUGUUUUCCCAAGAAGCAGCCACAUCACAGUGCUUUCGAGCUGGCAACUUUAUUCAGUGGGGGAAGAGGGGAAAAUGAGCUAGAGUUGGGCUAUUUCUCUAAUAACCUGGAGAAGGGCUAGUCUCUGGGACUCCAGAAGGAGGGACAGGACUUUGGAAGCUAGAAAGCGGAGAGGGAGAGGGGUGGCGCUCUGGGUGUCUUGGGCCGGGUGGGGGGAAGGGACGCAUCUUCCAUCCAAGGCCCAGCGCCCCCUAGGGGCCGCUGCCGCUUCCACUACCACUCCCGCUGCCCGCAGCAUCCAGGAUCCAGGUGCGGGAGCGGCGGGACCGCGGGAAACUGAUUUCCCGGGCCCUCCGUUCGUGUCUGCGACCCGGCAGUACCGAGAUGGAAAUGUUGAGGCAGUGAUCCGCGCCAGGAGCUGCUACCGGCAGCACGUAGCCCAGGACUGAGCGGCAAAGGUCUGCCCCAUCGGCAAAGGUCUGGGGAAAGGGGUGGAGUUAGGGCCCGAGUGGGCGGAGUCCAGGCAAUUCAGGGGCGUGGCCCUGGCAACCUAGAGUCCCCGAGUUUCUUUGCAAGUAGGGGCCAGGGCAGAGGCGCGGCCUAGGUGCGGGCAGUUACCCGCUUUGGGUCCUCCCGGGAGUGUGGGAGCAGGGCCAUGGCAGGAGCGGAGUACAGGGGAGGGCGAGUUAUCCUUCCUGGGCCCCAGGGCCGGGGUGGGGGAGGGUCAAAUUAAGAUUGGGGCUUUAGAGAAGGUAAUUCGGGCUUCUGAGUCUUCCAGGGGGAACUGUGGAUGGGCCUAGAGCAGAGACGGUCCCUUGGGGAGGCCAAAUCCAGACUCAAUGGUCCCUAGGGAGCAUACGGGCGUAUCCCACUAUGGAGAUUGUGCUGCGGAAGGGGGAAGCGUGGGAACAGGAGCCUUGGGAGUGCCAGUCCGGACUCCGGGCCCUAGGCGGGUUAAGACAGGACAUAGUAAGGGGAGGUCCCAGUCUCUCACCCGCGCUCUCUGUCUCAAGCUCACCUGCUCAUAGGUAGCGCAGCCAGGCUCACAGCCCCUCUUUUCUGGGAAUGGAAGCCAAGUUGGGCCGCAGGUAAUAUCGCUUUCGCAGGUGGCAAACCUACGGAUGGUGUGUGGAGAGAAGGUGGGCAAUCGCGUUCUGUUGGGAUCCUGCCCUCCAAGGCUUCACUCAGUACAUCGCAGAGCUCAGAACAGAGCGGCUGCGCCUGGCGUAUCCCCAGUAGCAGCAGGCGGAAGCGACUCUGGAGGGCAGCUUGGAGAUGUCCCAGGAAGGAUUCGCACCUGAACAGCGGGAAAGACAGGCUCGUUUGGGUCAGGAUGUGGCAGGGCCAACUGAAGCAAAACACACAACGAAACGCUGGCGGGUACUGUACUCACCCAGGGCUCGGCUCCCCACAGCGUUCUGGGACCGCCCCAGGGUCCGAUGCCUCUGGCGUGUCCAUCUCUGAAGGACAACAGGACCAUGGAGAAGGUUACUCCUGUGAGGUGGGGUCUUAGAUCCUCAGGUAGGAUUGGGGAACUAAGGCCUGGGGGCCCCUUGAACAGGGGAGACCCCAGUUAUGCCAGGGCCCCUCAAACAUAAAACUUAAAUAAAGACACUUCUCUUGGGAUCCAAAUGCAAUUUCUAGUAAUAAUAAAAAUGAUGGCUUAUCAUAAUCAGCUUAUCGUUCAUUACGUCCCUGAUAGUGGUACACGUUUUCAUAUGCUUACA